This 253-nucleotide ribosomal RNA is filed under the name uncultured bacterium. Its description in RNAcentral is "partial 16S ribosomal RNA". It matches the Rfam family "Bacterial small subunit ribosomal RNA", at positions 524 to 776 of the family's 1533-position model. The record is from RNAcentral.
CACGUAGGAGGCAAGCGUUAUCCGGAUUUACUGGGCGUAAAGCGCGUGUAGGCGGUUCGGUAAGUUGGAUGUGAAAUCUCCUGGCUCAACUAGGAGAGGUCGUUCAAUACUGCCAGACUAGAGGACGGUAGAGGAAGGUAGAAUUCCCGGUGUAGUGGUGAAAUGCGUAGAUAUCGGGAGGAAUACCAGUGGCGAAGGCGGCCUUCUGGGCCGUUCCCGACGCUCAGACGCGAAAGCGUGGGUAGCGAACGGG